This 795-nucleotide ribosomal RNA is filed under the name uncultured bacterium. RNAcentral's name for it is "bacterial SSU rRNA". It matches the Rfam family "Bacterial small subunit ribosomal RNA", at positions 8 to 796 of the family's 1533-position model. The record is from RNAcentral.
AGAGUUUGAUCCUGGCUCAGGAUGAACGCUAGCGGCAGGCCUAACACAUGCAAGUCGAGGGGCAGCACAGGUAGCAAUACCGGGUGGCGACCGGCGCACGGGUGAGUAACGCGUAUGCAACCUGCCCUCCGCAGGGGGAUAGCCCGCCGAAAGGCGGAUUAAUACCCCAUCGCCCCGUUGUCCGGCAUCGGACGGCGGGUAAAGGAGCGAUCCGGCGGGGGAUGGGCAUGCGUGCCAUUAGCUUGUUGGCGGGGUAACGGCCCACCAAGGCGACGAUGGCUCGGGGGUCUGAGAGGAUGGUCCCCCACACUGGUACUGAGACACGGACCAGACUCCUACGGGAGGCAGCAGUGAGGAAUAUUGGUCAAUGGGCGGAAGCCUGAACCAGCCAUGCCGCGUGCAGGAAGACGGCCCUACGGGUUGUAAACUGCUUUUCCGGGGGAAGAAUAAGGCCCAUGCGUGGGCCGAUGCCGGUACCCCGGGAAUAAGGAUCGGCUAACUCCGUGCCAGCAGCCGCGGUAAUACGGAGGGUGCAAGCGUUGUUCGGAUUUAUUGGGCGUAAAGCGCGUGUAGGCGGUUUCUUAAGUCUGAUGUGAAAGCCCUGGGCUCAACCCAGGAAGUGCAUUGGAUACUGGGAGACUUGAAUACGGGAGAGGGUAGUGGAAUUCCUAGUGUAGGAGUGAAAUCCGUAGAUAUUAGGAGGAACACCGGUGGCGAAGGCGGCUACCUGGACCGAUAUUGACGCUGAGACGCGAAAGCGUGGGUAGCAAACAGGAUUAGAUACCCUGGUAGUCC